UGAACCAACGCCGAGCCACCA
RNAcentral lists this unclassified non-coding RNA (21 nucleotides) under Mus musculus (house mouse). RNAcentral describes it as "oocyte_clustered_small_RNA8360". Lineage: Eukaryota; Metazoa; Chordata; Mammalia; Rodentia; Muridae. The record is from RNAcentral.